Molecule: RNA transcript, 1244 nt
Organism: Solanum lycopersicum (tomato)
Lineage: Eukaryota; Viridiplantae; Streptophyta; Magnoliopsida; Solanales; Solanaceae
Source: RefSeq, a predicted model, not a curated record
AUAUUCCAUCCAAUUUUAUUGCUCAGAAAGCAAAAGAAGUCAACUUUCUUUCACAAAAUAAUAAUUCAAUUUAGGGUUUCUAUGAAGGGACACAAUCCAAUUGAGGUGGCGAAGACGGUGUUGGAGGUGGCCGAUGUAGCAUGGUCGGCGGUGGAACGCUGUCAUCACCAUACCCACAGUCAUACUGAUACGACGUCGUUUGAUGUAUCUCAUAGUUGUGAAGAAGAUGGAUUGAGAUCUUUGAGGUCUGAAAACGAACGGCUCAAACGGUUGCUUGAAAAAAAUCUUAUGCUUCUUCAGAGCAUGUCACAAUCUCCUUCCUUACUUCAAAAUUGUCCACCUGAUCUUCAUGAACGUCUCUUAGCCGCUGUGGAAUCCGGAAGCUUUUUGAAACAGCUGGAAACACUGAAUCGGAAAUCUGUUGAUGGGAAUGACUGUCAAUUUCCUUUCAAGGAGGCAACUGAUGUUGACACGGAGACAGCAGAACUUCUGGUGAACAUGAGUCUUGAAGAACCAAGUUGGUGGGUUUGGGUGACUGAGGAUAUGGUCCCUGGCAAUCUUGAAGAAAGAAGCGAAAUAGAUAAUGAUAACUAUGUGAUUGUUAGUGAGGAAUAUGUUGUAGAUGCAGUUGCCAACUUUAUGGCUAGAUGCGUAGUAUCCAAUUCGAAGGCUCAGAAGAUGUCUCCUGAAGAACUGCAAAAGACCCUGGCAAAAGCAUUCGAAGGCAUUGGUAAAGUAGAAACAUUGUUCAACAUUUGGCAUGCCGCGCAAAUGUUCUACGUCCUUUCGACUUGGGGACUUGCAGUUGUGGGGUGAGCACUCAUUUAUUAUUUCUUUAUUUCGUGUGUUUCCAAUCUUAGAAGACAUAACAAUACCUCAGUAGUCCGUCCCGAAUAAGUUUGGCAUUGGUAAAGUAGAAACAUUGUUCAACAUUUGGCAUGCCGCGCAAAUGUUCUACGUCCUUUCCACUUGGGGACUUGCAGUUGUGGGGUUGUACAAGAGCCGAUCUGUUAUUAGACUUGCUGCUAAAGGGGUUCACAAGACAGGCAAAAUGGUUCUGAAGGUUCUUUGAAGAUGCCUCUGCUGUGUUGGUUAUGAAUUAAGCAUCGUGUAAAUGUUUUUACUUAUUGUACAGUCUAGUAUAUCAGAAUAACAUUAUGCUUGACUUCCAAUUCGUCUGUCUGAGAAUAUUGUUAAUAGUAUGCAAUUUGAAAAGUGCCUCUGUUGAGAUUGCAUUCGCGUCA